RNAcentral lists this long non-coding RNA (201 nucleotides) under Elaeis guineensis (African oil palm). RNAcentral describes it as "long non-coding RNA (EGUI_LNC020197)". The record is from RNAcentral. Lineage: Eukaryota; Viridiplantae; Streptophyta; Magnoliopsida; Arecales; Arecaceae.
UGAUUGACAGCGAUGUCUGUAACCACCUGAUAGUGGGCCGUUCAGAGCCGUGCGGAGUUUGUUACGGAGAGUAGUGGCAUCAGGGGUCGUUUAGGGCCACGUGAAGUUUGUUACGGAGAGUGGAGUGGUGUCCGUUGUCGCGACUUGCCAGAGAGUGGUAGAGCCUGGAGGGUGGAGUGGUGUCUGUUAUCGCGACUUGCC